This 73-nucleotide transfer RNA is filed under the name Rarobacter faecitabidus. RNAcentral describes it as "tRNA-Thr". It matches the Rfam family "tRNA". Rfam says of the family: Transfer RNA (tRNA) molecules are approximately 80 nucleotides in length. Their secondary structure includes four short double-helical elements and three loops (D, anti-codon, and T loops). Lineage: Bacteria; Bacillati; Actinomycetota; Actinomycetes; Micrococcales; Rarobacteraceae. RNAcentral also lists the same sequence under 5 other names. The record is from RNAcentral.
GCCCCCGUAGCUCAGUGGUAGAGCGCAGUCUUGGUAAGACUGAGGUCAUGGGUCCGAUUCCCAUCGGGGGCUC